This 253-nucleotide ribosomal RNA is filed under the name uncultured bacterium. Its description in RNAcentral is "partial 16S ribosomal RNA". It matches the Rfam family "Bacterial small subunit ribosomal RNA", at positions 524 to 776 of the family's 1533-position model. The record is from RNAcentral.
UACGAAGGGGGCUAGCGUUGCUCGGAAUCACUGGGCGUAAAGGGUGCGUAGGUGGUGAGGAAAGUCGGAUGUGAAAUCUCCGGGCUUAACCCGGAAAUGGCAUUGGAAACUACCUUGCUAGAGGUUUUGAGGGGGGACUGGAAUUCUCGGUGUAGCAGUGAAAUGCGUAGAUAUCGAGAGGAACACCAGUGGCGAAGGCGAGUCCCUGGAAAACACCUGACACUGAGGCACGAAAGCUAGGGGAGCGAACAGG